CCUACGGGUGGCAGCAGUGAGGAAUAUUUGUCAAUGGGCGAGAGCCUGAACCAGCCAAGUAGCGUGAAGGAUGACUGCCCUACGGGUUGUAAACUUCUUUUAUAAGGGAAUAAAGUGAGGCACGUGUGCCUUUUUGUAUGUACCCUAUGAAUAAGGAUCGGCUAACUCCGUACCAGCAGCCGCGGUAAUACGGAGGAUCCGAGCGUUAUCCGGAUUUAUUGGGUUUAAAGGGAGCGUAGAUGGGUUGUUAAGUCGGUUGUGAAAGUUUGCGGCUCAACCGUAAAAUUGCAGUUGAGACUGGCAGUCUUGAGUAAAGUUGAGGUAGGCGGAAUUCGUGGUGUAGCGGUGAAAUGCUUAGAUAUCACGAAGAACUCCGAUUGCGAAGGCAGCUUACUGGACUGCCACUGACAUUGAGGCUCGAAAGUGUGGGUAUCAAACAGGAUUAGAUACCCUUGUAGUC
RNAcentral lists this ribosomal RNA (460 nucleotides) under uncultured bacterium. Its description in RNAcentral is "partial 16S ribosomal RNA". It matches the Rfam family "Bacterial small subunit ribosomal RNA", at positions 338 to 795 of the family's 1533-position model. The record is from RNAcentral.